Molecule: long non-coding RNA, 347 nt
Organism: Spea bombifrons (plains spadefoot toad)
Lineage: Eukaryota; Metazoa; Chordata; Amphibia; Anura; Pelobatidae
Exons: 3
Source: RefSeq, a predicted model, not a curated record
GCGUCUCCUUCUCCGUAGGGAUGUCUCUUUUCUUGGUGUUGCAUCAGGUCCCAGUGUCCUGCUGUGCUGUGCAGUGCAGAUGUUAAGAAAUGACAUUUGAAGACGGAUUAACAUGAACGCUAAGUUUUUCCGGUAAGAGGGGACCUAAAAUGUCAUCGCUCUUCAGGACAUGCCAGUGUUUCCGCAAUAUCUUUUUAAUGUGCACCAGGUCUGCUUCAAAUGGAUUGUUGUGCCAUAUCUGUUCUGCUUCCCAUUCGGCUACGAAAAGGUUGGCGUAACUCGGCACGAACCUGGCACCCAUGGCUGUCCCACAUAGAUGACGGUAAAACUGGUGUUCAAACAAGAAA